RNAcentral lists this non-coding RNA (35 nucleotides) under unclassified sequences. RNAcentral's name for it is "DUF805b RNA". It matches the Rfam family "DUF805b RNA". From Rfam's summary of the family: Bacteroidetes, Chlorobi (1 example), Proteobacteria. Lineage (Flavobacteria) The record is from RNAcentral.
ACGGAGUAAGCCGAAAAUCCAGCAAAGAGUAGGCA